GAGAGGUGAAAUGCUAAUCGAACCCGGAGAUAGCUGGUUCUUUCCGAAAUGCCUUUAGGGGCAGCCUCGGUUUAUCUGAUUUGGGGGGUAGAGCACUGUUUAGGCUCGGGCGGGCAACCGUACCAACCCUUGACAAACUCCGAAUACCCAAUUUAGUACCCGGGAGUGAGACUGCGGCAGCUAAGUGCCGUAGUCGCGAGGGAGACAGCCCAGACCGCCGUCUAAGGU
RNAcentral lists this ribosomal RNA (228 nucleotides) under Ctenophora environmental sample. RNAcentral's name for it is "partial Bacterial large subunit ribosomal RNA". It matches the Rfam family "Bacterial large subunit ribosomal RNA", at positions 816 to 1045 of the family's 2925-position model. The record is from RNAcentral. Lineage: Eukaryota; Metazoa; Ctenophora.